CGCUCGACCUGAGCGGCCGUGGUGUCGGCCGCUCCCUAAAUCCCGCUUUGCCAUGGCUGGACAUUCUAACCAAACCGUAGCUCCGGCGGCUACGUUUUUGCAUCGCCUCCCACAAAUUGGUGACCCAGACGACGAAACCCGGCCCCGUCAACGUCCGCGCACCGACUCUACGCAGGUGAGUAAUGUGUCCUCACCUAGUCCGGCAGACGCCCCGUAGUUGUGGAGUUUACGGGAAUUCUACAUCGACAUGCCGGACAUGUGGUGCAUCCAGCUGGACAGCCACUUCCUUCUCAACAUGGUUCCAGCCUCCGGCUGCGUUGCAGGCCCUAGGUGCCACCCCGUGGCUCCGACUUCUACGAUGACUUGCGGACAGCCGUCUUUGCUGACUGUCACCUCGACUGCUCUGUUACAACCGUUCUCGGUAUUUGAACCGUCGCGUAAUUCCGCGUCUCGUCGUCGCACCUCGCCUGUGUACAGGCGUGCCGAUCGUCAGCACUCACCGGCCUCAGAAUCAAACCUCUACUCGGUUCGUGAGUCGCCUCCCCAGCUGCGUGACGAUUCUUUCCAAGGAAUUCACUGGACGAAACUUAGUUGCCCUUCGUUCCUCAAAGAGGCCGCACCUGAGUCGAGUGAGCUCCUGAACAACACUUUGCAAUGUGGUGAACGCGGUUUAACCAGUCAAUCCGGGACCUCAUAAAAGUGUGACGAAAUGGCGACGCACUUCUCUCCCAUUUACCGGGCACAGCCUACAGCAACUUCGCCGAGCCACAGCCCUUUCUUAACUUUAGUAUCAUCUGACUUAUGAAACUAGCGAAGCAAACAAGGGACUUCCUCGGCACUUCACAACAAGGAUUCAACCAGCUUGACAUCGAUGGUAGGAAGACGCCAGUCGAAGUUUGUUUUGCAAAGAAAAAAAAGAAGAGCGAGGGGAAGAAUAAUUAGCUCUGCCCCAAGCGUUGGUUGCUCAACGAGGGCG
Molecule: long non-coding RNA, 976 nt
Organism: Dermacentor albipictus
Lineage: Eukaryota; Metazoa; Arthropoda; Arachnida; Ixodida; Ixodidae
Source: RefSeq, a predicted model, not a curated record